RNAcentral lists this ribosomal RNA (1462 nucleotides) under uncultured Bordetella sp. RNAcentral describes it as "partial 16S-23S ribosomal RNA intergenic spacer". It matches the Rfam family "Bacterial small subunit ribosomal RNA". The record is from RNAcentral. Lineage: Bacteria; Pseudomonadati; Pseudomonadota; Betaproteobacteria; Burkholderiales; Alcaligenaceae.
GGUUUGAUCAUGGCUCAGAUUGAACGCUGGCGGGAUGCUUAUGCAAGUCGAACGGCCUUCACGGACUUCGGUCUGGUGGCAGGUAGCGAUGGUGAGUAAUGUAUCGGAACGUGCCUAGUAGCGGGGGAUAACUACGCGAAAGCGCCAGCUAAUACGCCGCCCUUCGGGGGAAAGCGGGGGACCUUCGGGCCUCGCACUAUUAGAGCGGCCGAUAUCGGAUUAGCUAGUUGGUGGGAGUAACGGCUCACCAAGGCGUGAGCCAUCAGCUGGUUUGAGGACAGCAACCACACUGGGACUGAGACACGGCCCGAACUCCUACGAGGCAGCAGUGGGGAAUUUUGGACAAUGGGGGAAACCCUGAUCCAGCCAUCCCGCGUGUGCGAUGAAGCCUUCCGGAGUUCGCCAAAAGCACUUUUGGCAGGAAAGAAACGACCGGGAUAUGCCGUGCAACUGACGGUACCUGCAGAAUAAGCACCGGCUAACUACGUGCCAGCAGCCGCGGUAAUACGUAGGGUGCAAGCGUUAAUCGGAAUUACUGGGCGUAAAGCGUGCGCAGGCGGUUCCGGAAAAGAAAGAUGUAGAAAUCCAGAGCUUAACUUUGGGGAACUGCAUUUUAACUACCGAGCUAGAAGGUAUCAGGGAGGUGGAAUUCCACACGCGUGUAGCAGUGAAAUGCGUAGAUAUGCGGAGAACACCGAUGGCGAAGGCAGCCUCUGAGACAACUGACGCUCAUGCACGAAAGCGUGAGACAAACAGGAUUAGAUACCUGGUAGUCCACGCCUAAACAAUCUCGUACGCUGUUGGAGACCUUCAGACCUUGGUAAAAAUACAGCUAACGCGUGAGAUUGACCGCCUGGGGAGUACGGUCGCAAGAUUAAAACUCAAGGAAUUGACGGGGACCCGCACAAGCGGUGGAUGAUGUGGAUUAAUUCGAUGCAACGCGAAAAACCUUACCUACCCUUGACAUGUCUGGAAUCCCGAAGAGAUUUGGGUACUCGCAAAACCGGAACACAGGUGCUGCAUGGCUGUCAUCGGCUCCCGUAUCGUGAGAUGUUGAGUUAAGCCCCGCAACGAGCACAACCGCAUCGUGGUUACUACGAAAGGGCACUCUGGCGGACUGCCGGUGACAAACGGGAGGAAGGUGGGGAUGACGUCAAGUCCUCAUGGCCCUUAUGGUGAGGGCUUCACGUCAUACAAUGGUCGGGACAGAGGGUCGCCAACCCGCGAGGGGAGGCCAAUCCCAGAAACCCGAUCGUAGUCCGGAUCGCAGUCUGCAACUCAGCUGCGUGAAGUCGGAAUCGCUAGUAAUCGCGGAUCAGCAUGUCGCGGUGAAUACGUUCCCGGAGUCUUGUACACACGCCCCGUCACACCAUGGGAGUGGGUUUUACCAGAAGCCGUUUAUAGCCCUAACCGUAAGGAGGGCAGUGCAGUGAUUCGGCUGAGGUGAAGUGGCUAACAAGGU